UGGAAGAUGCUGAGUACAUGGUUAUGAGCUGUCCAUCAUCGUCUCCUAGCAACGAGCUGACGGACACACCUGGGACAGGUACAGGCUAAUACCUGAAACAGCUAAUGAUUUCAUGUUAGCCGGAGAGCAGGAAGCAGCCAGAACAUUGUCCCUCUUGCUAGCUUGACUCUGAACAAACGUGUUUGUCUAGAAGGUCUCUGGUCCUCUGAGCUGGUCUCAUGUCAGGACCCAUCAGUCUGGCUGAGGAACAGGGUGUUGGGCCCCAUGGUGCCCCCCCACCCUCCAGGAGGUGUCAGAGGUGAUGAUGAAGAGGAGGAUACCUACGAAGAGGCAGAACCUUAUCUAGCUGCUGAAACCACCAAACAUACACCCGUUGUUCCAGAGAGGGCGGAGUCUGACAGCAGCCACUAUGAGUCAUACAGUGAGAGGGAUGAUGAUGAAGAUGAGAAGGUGGGCCUUGUGAAGGACAGAGCUCACUAUAUCCAAUGGAGCGCCUCGCAGCCCUGCCUAAGGCCCGCCCCCGAGUCCCGCCUCUGUGGCUACCUGUGGAGGAGGAAGUGGCUCGGGCAGUGGAGCAAACAGCUGUUCAUCAUCCGGAACGACGUGCUGCUGGUGAGGAAGAGGAUGAACGCACCUGUCCUCCUGCAGUUCCUGUGGUGUCCACUAGAUGCUGCUGUAAUCACACAUCUGUGUGUGUGUGUGUGUGUGUGUGUGUGUGUGUGUGUGUGUGUGUGUUUCAGUGUUAUAAAUUUGCUCAGGACCUGUUGCCUCAGAUGGAGGUGAACCUUCGAGGCUGUCAGCUCCAUUACAAGCUGAAGAGCAACGCUAGGAUCCAGCACCAACUCAAACUGGUCCCUCUGGGCUCCGAGUCGCUGGUUCUGGGCUACAGCAGCUUCCAGCAGGCCGACGAGUGGCGGCAGGCGAUGGAGGAGGCAAGCGCUGAUGGGGAGCUGGAGACUCGGAGCUUCUCAUCGCUGAGUAAAUCUGACCAUCAGCUGUCUUGCAGGUCCAGUUCAGUCCAGACCAUCUCUGAUGAGGAGAAACCUUCACCUGACUGCAGCUUGAACAAAGACCCAGGUAUUGAGCUGCUUACAGCCUGA
Molecule: long non-coding RNA, 1100 nt
Filed under: Nothobranchius furzeri (turquoise killifish)
Lineage: Eukaryota; Metazoa; Chordata; Actinopteri; Cyprinodontiformes; Nothobranchiidae
Description: lncRNA (ENSNFUG00015005574.1)
Source: RNAcentral